RNAcentral lists this ribosomal RNA (859 nucleotides) under uncultured Flavobacteriaceae bacterium. RNAcentral describes it as "bacterial SSU rRNA". It matches the Rfam family "Bacterial small subunit ribosomal RNA", at positions 35 to 886 of the family's 1533-position model. Lineage: Bacteria; Pseudomonadati; Bacteroidota; Flavobacteriia; Flavobacteriales; Flavobacteriaceae. The record is from RNAcentral.
GCUAGCGGCAGGCCUAAUACAUGCAAGUCGAACGGUAACAUUGGUGCUUGCACCAGAUGACGAGUGGCGCACGGGUGCGUAACGCGUAUGCAACCUACCUUUUACUAGAGUAUAGCCCAGAGAAAUUUGGAUUAAUCCUCUAUAACAUCUUUUAAUUUCAUGAUUUUAAGAUUAAAGUUUUAACGGUAAAAGAUGGGCAUGCGUCCUAUUAGUUUGUAGGUGAGGUAACGGCUCACCUAGACUACGAUAGGUAGGGGCCCUGAGAGGGGGAUCCCCCACACUGGUACUGAGACACGGACCAGACUCCUACGGGAGGCAGCAGUAAGGAAUAUUGGACAAUGGACGAAAGUCUGAUCCAGCCAUGCCGCGUGCAGGAUGACAGCCCUACGGGUUGUAAACUGCUUUUAUACAGGAAGAAACACUCCGACGUGUCGGAGCUUGACGGUACUGUAAGAAUAAGGAUCGGCUAACUCCGUGCCAGCAGCCGCGGUAAUACGGAGGAUCCAAGCGUUAUCCGGAAUCAUUGGGUUUAAAGGGUCCGCAGGCUGUUUUUUAAGUCAGAGGUGAAAUCCUACAGCUCAACUGUAGAACUGCCUUUGAUACUGGAAAACUUGAGUUAUUGUGAAGUGGUUAGAAUGUGUGGUGUAGCGGUGAAAUGCAUAGAUAUCACACAGAAUACCGAUUGCGAAGGCAGAUCACUAACAAUAUACUGACGCUCAUGGACGAAAGCGUGGGGAGCGAACAGGAUUAGAUACCCUGGUAGUCCACGCCGUAAACGAUGGAUACUAGCUGUUCGUCUAACAUUGGUUAGAUGAGUGGCUAAGCGAAAGUGAUAAGUAUCCCACCUGGGGAGUACGGU